Molecule: ribosomal RNA, 805 nt
Filed under: Dothidotthia robiniae
Lineage: Eukaryota; Fungi; Ascomycota; Dothideomycetes; Pleosporales; Dothidotthiaceae
Description: Dothidotthia sp. CS-2019b partial large subunit ribosomal RNA
Rfam family: Eukaryotic large subunit ribosomal RNA
Source: RNAcentral
GGCGAGUGAAGCGGCAACAGCUCAAAUUUGAAAUCUGGCCUCUUUGGGGUCCGAGUUGUAAUUUGCAGAGGGCGCUUUGGUGUCGGCAGCGGUCCAAGUUCCUUGGAACAGGACGUCACAGAGGGUGAGAAUCCCGUACGUGGUCGCUAGCCUUCACCGUGUAAAGCCCCUUCGACGAGUCGAGUUGUUUGGGAAUGCAGCUCUAAAUGGGAGGUAAAUUUCUUCUAAAGCUAAAUACUGGCCAGAGACCGAUAGCGCACAAGUAGAGUGAUCGAAAGAUGAAAAGCACUUUGGAAAGAGAGUCAAACAGCACGUGAAAUUGUUGAAAGGGAAGCGCUUGCAGCCAGACUUGCCUGUAGUUGCUCAUCCGGACUUUUGUCCGGUGCACUCUUCUAUGGGCAGGCCAGCAUCAGUUGGGGCGGUUGGAUAAAGGUCUCUGUCAUGUACCUCUCUUCGGGGAGGACUUAUAGGGGAGGCGACAUGCAACCAGCUCCGACUGAGGUCCGCGCAUUUAUGCUAGGAUGCUGGCGUAAUGGCUGUAAGCGGCCCGUCUUGAAACACGGACCAAGGAGUCUAACAUCUAUGCGAGUGUUUGGGUGUCAAGCCCGAGCGCGCAAUGAAAGUGAACGGAGGUGGGAACCCCUCGGGGCGCACCAUCGACCGAUCCUGAUGUCUUCGGAUGGAUUUGAGUAAGAGCAUAGCUGUUGGGACCCGAAAGAUGGUGAACUAUGCUUGAAUAGGGUGAAGCCAGAGGAAACUCUGGUGGAGGCUCGCAGCGGUUCUGACGUGCAAAUCGAUCGUCAAA